RNAcentral lists this unclassified non-coding RNA (606 nucleotides) under Hevea brasiliensis (rubber tree). The record is from RNAcentral. Lineage: Eukaryota; Viridiplantae; Streptophyta; Magnoliopsida; Malpighiales; Euphorbiaceae.
GCAAGUUGUUUAGCAGACAAUUUCAAUAACUUUAGUUUUCUUCACAAAUCAUUCCACUUCUCAUCCAUGACGCCAAACUCAAAAGCUUCUUAUAAUGGAUAAGCAUAUCCAAAUUUGUCGUAAAUGCUAUUCCUUCUACCUACAAUAAAAAAAAUUAAAGUAUGUAAGACCAUUAUUCCUAGUAAGCAACCCCUACUAUCAAGAAAUAAAUCAUUUCUAACACCUAAAAUCAAAGUCAGCUGUAAUAUCUGAAAGCGUGUGGGAGUCCCUUCUAAUUUAACCAAGCCUUAUUUGAGAUAAGGCUGAAUUAGAAUCUCCAAUCCCCUUUCUCUCUUAAAAAAAGCACAUAAUAGUUGUCUUUCUUUUUCAUAAGUAAUACUGUAUACAUAAACUUUUCUAUGACAAAAAUAAAAAAAAAGAAAGAAAUUGUUUUAUUUAUAACAAUGAAAGAAUCAAAAAGAGCAAGCUAUUCUAAAUGUUUAUCCAUGUUGGGGUGUUUUGCUGAACCUGAAGAGGUUAUCUAAUUUGCCAGGAACUUGAAAGAGUACAUACUCUUUUAAGCAAAUUAUUUAAAAAAAAAAAAUUAGGACUUAGGAGCACUGUCUU